CCCUGAGUUGCCUCAUUUGUUGGCGACCGCUGGGGCGCGCGGGGGACGACCGGAGGAAGGUGGGGACGAGUCCAGUCAUCAUGGGUCUUACGUCCAGGGCUAGAAACGUGCUACAAUGGCUGAUACAAAGGGUUGCAAGACCGCUAGGUGGAGCGAAUCUCAUCAAAGUCAGUCUAAGUUCGGAUCGCAUUCUGAAACCCGACUGCGUGAAGGCGGAGUUGCUAGUAAUCGCGGAUCAACAUGCCGCGGUGAAUACGUUCCCGGGCCUUGGACACACCGCCCGU
Molecule: ribosomal RNA, 284 nt
Filed under: uncultured Actinomycetes bacterium
Lineage: Bacteria; Bacillati; Actinomycetota; Actinomycetes
Description: uncultured actinobacterium partial 16S ribosomal RNA
Rfam family: Bacterial small subunit ribosomal RNA
Source: RNAcentral